This 1878-nucleotide ribosomal RNA is filed under the name human gut metagenome. Its description in RNAcentral is "bacterial LSU rRNA". It matches the Rfam family "Bacterial large subunit ribosomal RNA", at positions 3 to 1977 of the family's 2925-position model. The record is from RNAcentral.
UCAAGCUACAAAGAGCACAAGGGGAAUGCCUUGGCACCGAGAGCCGAAGAAGGACGUGACUAACUGCGAUAAGCUGCGGGGAGCCGUAAGUAGGCUUUGAUCCGCAGAUUUCCGAAUGGAGCAAUCCGGCAAGAGGAAAGUCUUGUCAUCAUAUACUGAAUACAUAGGUAUAUGAGGGGAACCGCCUGAACUGAAACAUCUAAGUAGGGCGAGGAAGAGAAAUCAACUGAGAUUCCGUAAGUAGUGGCGAGCGAACGCGGAAGAGGCCAAACCGAGAGUAGUAAUACUUUCGGGGUUCGGACAGAAUACGGCAUUGUAAAGGUUUAGUGGAAUGGAAUGGGAAGUCCAACCGAAGAAGGUGAGAGUCCUGUACACGAAAAGCCUGAACAGCCAUCUGUAUCCAGAGUACCGCCGGACACGUGAAACCCGGUGGGAAUAUGGGGGGACCAUCCUCCAAGCCUAAAUACUACUCGGUGACCGAUAGUGAAGAAGUACUGUGAAGGAAAGGUGAAAAGUACCCCUGACGGGGAGUGAAAAAGAACCUGAAACCUUGUGUUUACAAGCACCGAAAGCUCAUCAAAGAGCGAUCGGGUACCUUUUGUAGAAUGGUCCGGCGAGUGAAUGUAACCGGCGAGGUUAAGCACUUAAGGUGUGAAGCCGCAGCGAGAGCAAGUCUGAAUAGGGCGUAUGAAGUCGGUUGUAUUCGACCCGAAACCGGGUGACCUACCCAUGGUCAGGUUGAAGUAAAGGUAAAACUUUAUGGAGGACCGAACCGACUCCCGUUGAAAUGGUAGCGGAUGAACUGUGGGUAGCGGAGAAAUUCCAAUCGAACCCGGAGAUAGCUGGUUCUCUCCGAAAUAGCUUUAGGGCUAGCCUUGAAAUAGAUUACCGGAGGUAAAGCACUGAAUUGGCUAGGGGCCGAGAGGUUACUGAACCUUAUCAAACUAAGAAUGCCGGAUAAUCGUUUUUCAGGAGUCAGACAGUGGGAGAUAAGUUUCAUUGUCAAAAGGGAAACAGCCCAGACCCACAGCUAAGGUCCCCAAGUAUAGUUAAGUGGAAAAGGAUGUGGAAUUGCACAGACAACCAGGAUGUUGGCUUAGAAGCAGCCACUCAUUAAAAGAGUGCGUAAUAGCUCACUGGUCGAGUGACUCUGCGCCGAAAAUUUAACGGGGCUAAACUAUACACCGAAGCUUGGGAUACAUCUAAUGUAUGGUAGGAGAGCGUUCUGUAUGGGGCGAAGUCGUAGCGAAAGCGGCGGUGGACUAUACAGAAGUGAGAAUGCCGGAAUAAGUAGCGAGAAUUAAGUGAGAAUCUUAAUGGCCGAAAGUCUAAGGUUUUUGGAGGAAGGUUCGUCCGCUCCAAGUAAGUCGGGAGCUAAGGUCAGGCCGAAAGGCGUAGCCGAUGCACAUACGGUUGAUAUUCCGUAACCAUCUGUAAUUUAAGCAAAGGGACACUUCAAAAGGGUGUGACCCGGGCGUUGGUUGACCCGGGCGUAAGGGACCGAAAUUAGAGUAGGGAAGCACACUUAGCUGAAGGCGAGAAAAGCUUUGCGUAUAGAAGCAGAUGCCCGUACCGCAAACCGACACAGGUGGACAGGAAGAGAAUUCUAAGGCCAGCGGGAGAAGGGUAGUUAAGGAACUCGGCAAAUUGACUCCGUAACUUCGGAAUAAGGAGUGCUCGAAAGAGCCGCAGAGAAUAGGCCCAGGCGACUGUUUAGCAAAAACACAGGUCUCUGCCAAAUCGAAAGAUGAAGUAUAGGGGCUGACACCUGCCCGGUGCCGGAAGGUUAAGAGGAGGAGUGAGAGCUCCGAAUUGAAGCCCCGGUAAACGGCGGCCGUAACUAUAACGGUCCUAAGGUAGCGAAAUUCCUUGUCGGGU